CCUACGGGUGGCAGCAGUGGGGAAUAUUGCACAAUGGGCGAAAGCCUGAUGCAGCAACGCCGCGUGAAGGAAGACGGUUUUCUGAUUGUAAACUUCUGUUCUUAGUGAAGAAUAAUGCCGGUAACUAAGGAUCAAGCCACUGCUAACUACGUGCCAGCAGCCGCGGUCAUACGUAGGUGGCAAGCGUUGUCCGGAAUUACUGGGUGUAAAGGGAGCGUAGGCGGGAAGCCAAGUCAGCUGUGAAAACUACGGGCUUAACCUGUAGACUGCAGUUGAAACUGGCUUGCUUGAGUGAAGUAGAGGUUGGCGGAAUUCCGAGUGUAGCGGUGAAAUGCGUAGAUAUUCGGAGGAACACCGGUGGCGAAGGCGGCCAACUGGGGUGUAACUGACGCUGAGGCUCGAAAGUGUGGGGAGCAAACAGGAUUAGAUACCCUUGUAGUC
Molecule: ribosomal RNA, 441 nt
Filed under: uncultured bacterium
Lineage: Bacteria
Description: partial 16S ribosomal RNA
Rfam family: Bacterial small subunit ribosomal RNA
Source: RNAcentral